Molecule: ribosomal RNA, 270 nt
Filed under: uncultured archaeon
Lineage: Archaea
Description: partial 16S ribosomal RNA
Rfam family: Archaeal small subunit ribosomal RNA
Source: RNAcentral
AGUCACUGACAUUAGAUACCCCCGUAGUCCCAGGGUGUAAACGCUGCAGACUUGGUGUUGGAAAGUCCUUUGGGGGCAUUCAGUGCCGGAGAGAAGUUGUUAAGUCUGCUACUUGGGGAGUACGUCCGCAAGGAUGAAACUUAAAGGAAUUGGCGGGGGAGCACCGCAACGGGUAGGAGCGUGCGGUUUAAUUGGAUUCAAACACCGUAAAAACUCACCAGGGAAGACUGUUACAUGAAAGCCGAGAUGAAGACUCUGCUAGAUUUUCAG